This 3412-nucleotide long non-coding RNA is filed under the name Homo sapiens (human). Its description in RNAcentral is "HSALNT0007834". Lineage: Eukaryota; Metazoa; Chordata; Mammalia; Primates; Hominidae. The record is from RNAcentral.
GUUUCCUGUGGCCUCCCUGGAAGCUGAGCAGAUUCCAUCAUCAUGCUUCCUGUACAGUCUGCAGAACCAUGAGCCAAUUAAGCCUCUUUUCUUUAUAAAUUACCCAGUCUGAGGUACUUCUUUAUAGCACUGCAAGAAUGGACUAAUACGCUAUGUGAAGACAAAGGGGAUGUCUGCAAGCCAGGACGAGUGCGUCUACCAGAAACUGAGUUCUGCUGGACUUUGAUCUAGGACAUCCAGCCUCCAGAAUGGAAUGUGCCAUAUGUGGAGACCUGCAUGGAAAGGAACUGAGGAUGCUCUCUCACUAAAAGCUAGAAGGAACUGAGGCCCUCAGUCAACAGUCUACAAGACACUGAAUCUUGCCAGCAGCCAAGCAGUGAGCUUGAAAGCAGAUCUAUCAUCAGCUGAACCUUCAGAUGAGACCGCAGCCUAAGCAGAUACCUUGGUUGCAGCCAUGUGAGACAACCUGAAACAGAGGGCACAGCUAAGCCUCAGCCAGGUUCAUGACCCUCUGAGGAAACUAUGGAGAGAGGGGAACCCGAGUCAAGGAAUGCAAAUGGCCUCUGGAAGCUGGAAAAAGCAAGAAAUGGAUUCUCCUUUAGAGCCUGUGGAAUAAAAUGCAGUCAUGCUGACACCUUGAUUUUACCUCAGUGAGACCAAUACUGGAGUAUGACCUUCGGAGCUGAAUAAAAUUAUACGUACACAUCUUAAUUUCUUGGGAUUUGAUUACUUCUUCUGCUUUGAAAUUAGACCAAGUUUAGCCUGCCUUUGCUAUUUUGGCGUAUCUCCAAUUCUUCAUGAUUUUCUCAUCGCAAAGGCCACAUAAGGACAGUGAGAAGGCAGCCACCUGCAAGCCAGGAAGAAAGGUCUCACCAGAUACCAACCCUGCCAGCAUGUUGAUCUUGGACUUCCAGCCUCCAAAACUGGCCUUCUGCUCACAUGGGCUUCCGUGCACCUGCUUCAGGAGACAGCAACACUUGCGCCCGCACCGCGGCAGGCUCCCAUCACCUGGUGGAUAUGCCGCGCCGAGUCUCAUCACACCUUAGUGAAGGAACACAUGGACCCAUAUGUUAGCGGAUGUAUUUACAUCGUUUUAUACAGAAAGGGGAAAUGGAGUCUUGCUCUGUCACACAUGCUAGAGUCCAGUGGUAUGACCUCAGCUCACUGCAAUCUCUGCCUCCCGGGUUCAAAUGAUUCUUCUGCCUUGACCUCCCUGGCAGCUGGGACUACAGGCCUGCACCACCACGCCUGGCAAAUUUUUUAAUUUUUUUUAGUAGAGAUGGGGUUUCACCAUGUUGGCCAGGCUAGUCUCGAACUCCUGACCUCAAAUGAUCUGCCCGCUUUGGCCUUCCAAAGUUCUGGGAUUAUAGGAGUGAGCCACCAUGCCCAGCCUGUUCUUAAGUCUCCUAGAACAGGGAUUCUGAAACACAAAACUCAUCUGGUGAGAAGAAUGAGAGCAAGAGAGGUUAAAUGGGUCGUUCAAGUUCAUAAAGUACUGACAGAAGAUGACCCUGAACUGUUCUCACUAUAUUAAAAGUCAGACAAGUAUUAUUAUUAUUAUUACUAAUAUAAGUAGCUCCAAUUUAUGUGAUUCUCAUGAUUUGGAGGACCUUACCUAUAUUAGCUUAUUUAAUCUACACAGCAAACCUAGAUGGUAAAUAUUUUCAUUGCCAUUUUACAGAGGAGGAACUGAGGUUCCUGAGGGUUAGGAAACUUGUAACAUGAACUCCAUACAGAUAUACAGAAUGAUAUAAACAAAUAAACAAAUACAUAAAUGUGGAAGAAGUAAAAGCUCUUCCUUGGAGUAAAAGGCCACCUAAUAAAUGAGGCAGGAAUGAUAAAAUUAGAGAAAUCAUUUGCAAACAUCACAGUAUUAAUUGCUUAAAGGAAGAAUUAUAAAUAGAUAAUAAAGCUAGUGGGUGAAACAUUAAUGGGACUAAGAUAUUUAUCUAGCCCCAAAAGUUUUGCUCCAUAAAAAUACUUACUUAGGCUGGGCAUGGUGGUGCACACCUGUAAUUCUAGCACUUUGGGAGGCCGAGGUGGAAGGAUUACUUGAGCUUAAGAGUUCAAUGGCAGCCUGGACAACAUAGUGAGACCGCAUCUCUAAAAAAAAAAUUAGCCAGGUGUGGUAGUGCGUGUAUGUAUUCUCAGCUACUCAGGAGGCUGAGGUAGAAGGGAUCGCUUGAGCCCCAAGUUGAGGCCACAGUGAGCUGAGAUUGCACCACUGCACUCCAGCCUGGGUUACAGAGAGUGAUCCUGUCUCAACAAUAAAAUAAAAUAAAAUGAAAAAAAUAUUUAUUACAAAUGAAAAAAAUGACAUGUUUACACUGGAGAGGCCUACAGGCAUCAUCUUAACCAAUGAUCAAAGUUAAUAUCUACACGAAUAGGACAAAUAAUAUCAUUUCCCUCCUGACCUCAUGCAUGUUUAAAACACAACAUAACUUCUUGGUUAUUUCUGUCAAGAGUGCAUAACCUGAAACUAAUCAUAAGAAACCACCAGAUGACCCCACGAUGAGAGGUAUACUAAAAAAUAACUAAGCUAUUAUUUUAUUUUAUUUAUUUUUUGAGACAGAGUCUUGCUCUGUUGCCCAGGCUGGAGUGCAGUGGCGCAAUCUCAGCUCACUGCAACCUCAGCCUCCUGGGUUCAAGAGAUUCUCCUGCCUCAGCCUCCCAAGUAGCUGGGAUUACAGGCUUCUUUUUGUAUUUUUAGUAGAGAGGGGGUUUCACCAUGUUGGCCAGGCUGGUCUCAAACUCCUGACCUCAGGUGGUCCACCCACCUCGGCCUCCCAGUUUUGGGAUUAUAUGCGUGAGCCACUGCACUCAGCCACCAGACUUUUUUUUUUUUCUUUUUACUUUUUUUGAGACAGCAUCUCCCUCUGUCGCCCAGGCUGGAGUGCAAUGGCACAAUCUUGGCUCACUGCGACCUCCGCCUCCCAGGUUCAAGUGAUUCUCCUGUCUCAGCCUCCUGAGUAGCUGGAACUACAGGCGCCCGCCACCACGCCCGGCCAGUUUUUGUGUUUUUAGUGGAUAUGGGGGUUUCACCAUGUCGGUCAGGCUGGUCUCGAACUCCUCACCUCAGGUGAUCUGCCCGACUCAGCCUCCCAAAGUGCUGGGAUUAUAGAUGUGAGCCAUCGUGCCUGGCCUAUUUUGAAAGCAACAUAUAAUCCAACUUUUUCUUUUGUUAUAAAGAGCAAUAUAGGAACAAGGAGUGAAACACCAAGGCAAUUUGACAGUUAAAUGGUAGAAGUAGAUCAGUGUUAAUUUCCUGAUUUUGUAAUUAUACUGUGGUUAUGUAACAGAAUGUUCUUGUUUUAGAAAGUACACAUUGAAUAAUCAAUGGUCAUCUUGUCUGUAACUUAAUUUCAAAUGUUUCAAUAAAAAUAUGUGUAUGUUUGUGAGUGAUAAAACAAAU